CCCGCAGCCCAGAGAGCAACAGACAAAGGGAAAGUCUAUUUCCCAAUUUUAAGAAGUUCUACCUUCCUAUUGGCUCUUUUGGUCAGGUGCCCACUCCUUUUCUUUUACCUGUGGGCUUGUUAACCC
Chelonoidis abingdonii (Abingdon island giant tortoise) is the source of this 126-nucleotide non-coding RNA. Lineage: Eukaryota; Metazoa; Chordata; Testudines; Testudinidae. The record is from RefSeq and is a predicted model, not a curated record.